Molecule: long non-coding RNA, 1082 nt
Organism: Labeo rohita (rohu)
Lineage: Eukaryota; Metazoa; Chordata; Actinopteri; Cypriniformes; Cyprinidae
Exons: 5
Source: RefSeq, a predicted model, not a curated record
UCAAGGCGAAUAAAACAGUUUACUUGCUGCUUUGAGUAAGGCUUACUUAAAAUAUUCAAGUAGUCACAACAAAACCAAUGACAUGAAUACACCAGUGAGAGGCAGCAGUGCGCUAAUGUGUUGCUAAUGUGCAACAAAACCACAGAAGAAGAAAUGAGGACAGUUAGAGCAUGUACAACAAGCAGUGUUUUGAAUUUGUGCUGACAUCAGUUGGCUCCAGCUAAUUGGUGAAGAAUUUGCUGAAACUGGGAAAAGAAGCAGAGACUGCUUGCAUUUUUACCGCUGGACAAGGAUACUAAGGACAAGUGUUUGUGGCAAGUGCCUUCUCUGAACAGCGGUCUCAUCAGCACAGGCCUCAGUACAUUGGAGAUUUAGGUGGACUCUUCACACCCUACAGCCCCUAAAAUAACCCAGAUUUGACAGGACUGCACACCCAUCUCAGGCCUUCCUGUUUCAUUUUGCGACUACCCCAGAUACUUCUACUACUAACCCGCUUUGUGUCUGAUGCAGUCUGGACACUAAUAUGUGUUGGAUUGCUGACCAUCAUUGAAGAUGAUGUAUUUCUCCAAAUCUUCUCUGCCUUGACCCUGUGUCUUCUGCCAUCAUUGGAUUGCCCUAAUACCAUGAAAAACACUUGGAGGUUCAUUCAAAGUGUGGUGCUUUACUUGGGACAGAACAAAACCCUGAAACUAAAGUGACUUUUUGAACUUUAAUUAUAUAAACCAUUGGCAACGUGUGCAGCCUACCCAGUGCCAUACUUAAACUCAUCCUCCUACUGCUACCUCCACUUCUUACACUAAGCAUACCCUAAAUCAGACUGUUGUUGGUUUGUAUUUAAAACUACACUGAAAACCAUUUAAAAAAUACAUUAUCUUUAACUUUGAAAUGUCACUGCCUUAAAUUUAUGUGUCAUGUGAAUGGAACAUUGUUUUCAUUAAUUUGUAAUGGAUUUUUGAAGCACUUAAGUUACUAGACUAGUUAAAUUACUAGUUACUAUUACUACUUAAAUUACUAGUAAGUCAUUUAAGUGCUUAGUUGCAUUUACUUGAAUAGAAAUCUAAUUUAUUGCUAAAACCAUGCAA